AAGUCGUAACAAGGUUUCCGUAGGUGAACCUGCGGAAGGAUCAUUAAUGAAACUUGGGAGAAUUGAUGCUAGAACUUGUUCUAUGCGCUUUUCCCUUAAUCCAUACACACCUGUGCACUUUGAAAGGAGAGAACGGCUUUUAACGGCUGGUCUGUCCUUUCUCAUACAAACCCUUCUUGUAAAACGAAUGUUCAUUGGCCGAAAGGCUCUAAAAAAUACAACUUUUAACAACGGAUCUCUUGGCUCUCGCAUCGAUGAAGAACGCAGCGAAAUGCGAUAAGUAAUGUGAAUUGCAGAAUUCAGUGAAUCAUCGAAUCUUUGAAUGCACCUUGCGCUCCCUGGUAUUCCGGGGAGCACGCCUGUUCGAGUGUCAUGAAACUCUCAAGCAGCAUAGCUUUAUUGUUAUGUCUGUUUGGAUUUGGACUCUGCCGCUUUUACGAGUGGCUGGUCUUAAAUGUAUUAGCUGGCCCUUGUGAGUCUUGGUUCUACUCGGCGUGAUAAUUAUCUGACGUUGAGGACAGUCUUCGGACUGGCCAAGGUCUUCAAAGACCGCUUCUAAUCGUCUUCGGACAAUCAAAUUUCUACAUCUGACCUCGAAUCAGGCGGGACUACCCGCUGAACUUAAGCAUAUCAAUAAGCGGAGGAAAAGAAACUAACAAGGAUUCCCCUAGUAACGGCGAGUGAAGCGGGAUGAGCUCAAAUUUAAAAUCCGGUGGUCUUUGGCCAUCCGAGUUGUAAUCUAGAGAAGCGUUUUCCGUGCUAGACCGUGUACAAGUUUCCUGGAACGGAACGUCAUAGAGGGUGAGAAUCCCGUCCUUGACACGGACUACUAGUGCUCUGUGAUACGCUCUCAACGAGUCGAGUUGUUUGGGAUUGCAGCUCAAAAUGGGAGGUAAAUUCCUUCUAAAGCUAAAUAUUGGCGAGAGACCGAUAGCGGACAAGUACCGUGAGGGAAAGAUGAAAAGCACUUUGGAAAGAGAGUUAAACAGUACGUGAAAUUGUUAAAAGGGAAACGAUUGAAGUCAGUCGCGUCUGCUUGGACUCAGCCUUACCUCGGUUUGGUGCAUUUCCUUGUAGACGAGCCAGCGUUAAUGUUGUCCUUCGGAAAAGGGUUGGGGGAAUGUGGCUCUUUCGGGAGUGUUAUAGCCCUUGAUCGUAUACGGAGGCUGAUAUUGAGUGGUACAGCAUGCUUCGGCGGUGCUUGUGCUGGCAUAAUGGCUUUAAACGACC
Molecule: ribosomal RNA, 1230 nt
Filed under: uncultured fungus
Lineage: Eukaryota; Fungi
Description: eukaryotic LSU rRNA
Rfam family: Eukaryotic large subunit ribosomal RNA (bases 589-1230)
Source: RNAcentral